UGUUACUGUAGACUCCGAGUCUUGCGACCUAACCGAAAGCAGGGUUUUAAGACCGUCAGGGUAUAUCUGGAAACGGAUGUGCCUUCCAUAUUGAAAAGGAGGAAAUUAAAUGUCAAC
This 117-nucleotide non-coding RNA is filed under the name Alkalibacter saccharofermentans. Its description in RNAcentral is "MoCo sequence". It matches the Rfam family "Molybdenum/Tungsten riboswitch aptamer (Moco RNA motif)". The record is from RNAcentral. RNAcentral also lists the same sequence under 1 other name. Lineage: Bacteria; Bacillati; Bacillota; Clostridia; Eubacteriales; Eubacteriaceae.